Molecule: long non-coding RNA, 554 nt
Filed under: Homo sapiens (human)
Lineage: Eukaryota; Metazoa; Chordata; Mammalia; Primates; Hominidae
Description: PREDICTED lncRNA (TCONS_00210789)
Source: RNAcentral
CUUCUCUUUGCCUGCUGCCAUCCAUGUUAGUAAGAUAUGACUUGCUCCUCCUUGGCUUCCACCAUGAUUGUGAGGCCUCACCAGCCAUUUGGAACUGUCCUCAUCAAGUGCAGAAUGAAGUGCAAUCUCCCUAGCACACACUCGAGAGUCUUCAGUCGUCUUACUCCUGCGCACUUCUUCAAUUUAAACCUCUACCAUGACUUUUCCCUUACUCCAUUCUCUUGGAACCCGAAACAUCUUCACCCAGACUAUGCUCUGUUGGCUUUGGGUAUUUUAUGUGUAUUUAGUAACCACUAUGCAGGAGAAGAAUUAGCAAAAGCAAUUACUAGAAUAUUUUAAUUACAAUCCUAUCAAAGACAAACUUUGGUUUAACUGCAGUAUGUUUUCUUAUUUGAAGUGCAAACAGACAAAGAGAGAAAAUUCAUGCUUGAAUUUUCACAGAUACAUUUGGAUUUCACAUUCUGUUUUUUAAAAGCAGAAAUGUGGACUGGUUGAUAGCAAUAAUUAGAGCACUGGGCUUUUAUAAGAUUUUUGUUUUCAGUUUUGAAUGUUAU